Molecule: ribosomal RNA, 429 nt
Filed under: uncultured bacterium
Lineage: Bacteria
Description: bacterial SSU rRNA
Rfam family: Bacterial small subunit ribosomal RNA
Source: RNAcentral
UUAGGAAUAUUCGUCAAUGGGGGAAACCCUGAACGAGCAAUGCCGCGUGAGUUAUGAAGGUCUAUUAGAUUGUAAGACUCUGUUGCGAGGGAAGAACAGCCUUUAUAGGUAAUGAUAAAGGUUUGACGGUACCUCGUCAGAAAGCCCCGGCUAACUACGUGCCAGCAGCCGCGGUAAUACGUAGGGGGCGAGCGUUAUCCGGAUUUAUUGGGCGUAAAGAGUUCGUAGGCGGUUUGGUAAGUCUAAGAUUUAAGGCUGGGGCUUAACUCCAGUUUGUUUUAGAAACUGUCAGGCUUGAGUGUGGUAGAGGCAAGUGGAAUUUCUAGUGUAGCGGUUAAAUGCGUAGAUAUUAGAAGGAACACCAGUGGCGAAGGCGGCUUGCUGGGCCAUUACUGACGCUGAGGAACGAGAGCGUGGGGAGCAAAUAGG